AACGAACGCUGGCGGCAGGCUUAACACAUGCAAGUCGAACGCCCCGCCAAGGGGAGGUGGCAGACGGGUGAGUAACACGUGGGAAUGUGCCCCAAGGUACGGGAAUAUUCUCGGGAAACUGAGAGCAAUACCGUAUGUGGCCGAGAGGCGAAAGAUUUAUCGCCUUGGGAUCAGCCCGCGUUGGAUUAGCUAGUUGGUGGGGUAAAAGGACCUACCAAGGCGACGAUCCAUAGCUGGUCUGAGAGGACGGACCAGCCACACUGGGACUGAGACACGGCCCAGACUCCUACGGGAGGGCAGCAGUGGGGAAGUAUUGGACAAUGGGCGGCAAGCCUGAUCCAGCAAUGCCGCGUGUGUGAAGAAGGCCUGCGGGUUGU
RNAcentral lists this ribosomal RNA (377 nucleotides) under uncultured bacterium. Its description in RNAcentral is "bacterial SSU rRNA". It matches the Rfam family "Bacterial small subunit ribosomal RNA", at positions 29 to 426 of the family's 1533-position model. The record is from RNAcentral.